Cyprinus carpio carpio is the source of this 1901-nucleotide long non-coding RNA. The record is from Ensembl. NCBI's taxonomy places the organism in Eukaryota, Metazoa, Chordata, Actinopteri, Cypriniformes, Cyprinidae.
GCAUAAUUCUAAUUCUCGACGUCGAACCCGCUCAGCUUGAGACAAUCGAUGUGUGUCAACUUGCAUCUUCUCUAUUGUCAUUUCUGAGGGGACUUCAAAUGAAUUCUUAUGUGGUAUGAAAGCUGUUUGUUGUACCUCUUGAUAACACCCUUGAGAUCUUUGGUGCACACGGAGGGUUUGUUGUAUAAAUUUCUCAAGUCCGAUGGCAUCAUCAUAAAUUGCAAGUUGGAGGCGAAGUGCAGGAUUUAAACCACGUCGAUAGACAGAAAGUAGAGCCUUUUCGUCCCACCCACUUGCAGCUGCUAAGGUUCGGAAUUCCAGAGAAUAUUCUGAGACUGAUCUUUUACCUUGGCGUAAUUGUAACAGUUUAUCACUAACCGUUGAAUCUUCUACAGGACGUCCAAAAACUUCUUUGAAGUGAUUUAUAAAGUCCUGUACUGAGGAUGUAACUGUCGUUUCCUGUGUCCACAAUGUUUCAGCCCAUCUUAAUGCCGCGCCCGAUAACUGCUGGAUAAUGAAAGAAACUUUAGAUUUUUCAGUUGGAUAUAACUGUGUCUGUUGUUCAAGGGCAAGUGAACACUGCAACAGAAAACCGUUGCAGUCCUCCGCCCGGCCGGAGAAUGGCGCUGGUCGUGACGUGGGGUUAGCGAAGCAAACCAGUGUGGAAGCGCUGGUUGCGGGCGGUGUAGGAUUCAUAGCCGUGAAGUUUAUCCUCCUUUUCUACGGUCAAGCCUUCUGUCAGGAUACAAGCAUGGAGAUCGAGAUGUGAACGGUAGCAAUCGACUCAGACGGAACCGUAGAGAAAUCAGGAGCACACGGGAUCGCGGACAUCAGGAACCAGAUCUGGAGACAGUAGAACAGGAACACAAGGGUUAGUGAAACUCAGAUAAGUACGUUACGUCAGGAUUUCUCAGAGGAAUCAGAGACUCUGGAUAAAACUGGUUAAGGUCCGUUCCUGUUGGAGGCUUGACAACAACUGGAGUUACUGAGGGAAUUUUAUGUGUUGGUUGAUGAAGCAGUUGAUAUAGAACAGGUGCAAGUGAUUAGUACUCUGGAGAGAGUGAUCUCUGUGUGGUGGAUGGCACUGAGCUUGAUUGGUCCCUGACAACUCCUCAGCCACACUGUGAAUUAAGUGAGUCUCAAAUUACCAUUUUUAAUGUAGAAUGUUAAUAAUGCAACUACCACCAGUAGCUCUUACCUCCUGGACAAACUCGGCGCACCAAUAAAUCAUGCCACUUCCGAGACCCCGAAUGCCGCGCAUAGUUAGAUGUCAGUCUCAUCUCCUUUUAUACCCGUGCAACAUACCAUUUCAUCCCCAAUAACUAAAAUGGUUAAAGGCAUUACCACACAAACAUAAAUGCAAACGCAAACACAAACAUAGAUUCAAACGCAAACACUAAGUCUCACAGAAAUGCAAACAUACGGCAAAACAAACAUACAUGCAAACACAAACUCUCAAUUACAACCAAACACUCAAUACAAACACAAGCAUACACAAACACGCAAACAUUAAUGGAAAUGCAAACACAAACAUAGAUGCAAACGCAAACACUAACUCUCACAGAAACACAAACAUACAGCAAACCACAAAUAUACAUGCAAAACGCAAACCCAAAUAUACACACAAAUGCAAACAUACACACACAAACAAACACUGCAGGUAAAAAUGUAAACUUUUACGAUUUCUCAUGCAAACCUUUUACAAAUAAAUACUUUUAGCAUCACACUGUGUAUCUCUACAAGAUGAUGACGUAACUUUUGUUUUAACAAAUAAGUUAAGUUUUGUAGAUUUUUCAAACCUAAAACCAUGAUACUCUAAUGCAGGGAUAAGAAGUAGUCAAAUGAUCUGCUGAUGAAUGCAAGGCACUUACAGAGAGUUUUUUUAUGAAUUAGACCUAAAU